UCCCUGGUGGCUCAGAGGGCAAAGCGUCUGCCCGCAAUGCAGGAGACCCGGGUUCGAUCCCUGGGUCGGGAA
Molecule: transfer RNA, 72 nt
Organism: Ovis aries (sheep)
Lineage: Eukaryota; Metazoa; Chordata; Mammalia; Artiodactyla; Bovidae
Rfam family: tRNA
About the family: Transfer RNA (tRNA) molecules are approximately 80 nucleotides in length. Their secondary structure includes four short double-helical elements and three loops (D, anti-codon, and T loops). Further hydrogen bonds mediate the characteristic L-shaped molecular structure. tRNAs have two regions of fundamental functional importance: the anti-codon, which is responsible for specific mRNA codon recognition, and the 3' end, to which the tRNAs corresponding amino acid is attached (by aminoacyl-tRNA synthetases). tRNAs cope with the degeneracy of the genetic code in two manners: having more than one tRNA (with a specific anti-codon) for a particular amino acid; and 'wobble' base-pairing, i.e. permitting non-standard base-pairing at the 3rd anti-codon position.
Source: Rfam